RNAcentral lists this ribosomal RNA (468 nucleotides) under uncultured bacterium. RNAcentral's name for it is "partial 16S ribosomal RNA". It matches the Rfam family "Bacterial small subunit ribosomal RNA", at positions 28 to 507 of the family's 1533-position model. The record is from RNAcentral.
GACGAACGCCGGCGGCGUGCUUAACACAUGCAAGUCGAACGGAAAGGCCCUGCUUUUGUGGGGUGCUCGAGUGGCGAACGGGUGAGUAACACGUGAGUAACCUGCCCUUGACUUUGGGAUAACUUCAGGAAACUGGGGCUAAUACCGGAUAGGAGCUCCUGCUGCAUGGUGGGGGUUGGAAAGUUUCGGCGGUUGGGGAUGGACUCGCGGCUUAUCAGCUUGUUGGUGGGGUAGUGGCUUACCAAGGCUUUGACGGGUAGCCGGCCUGAGAGGGUGACCGGCCACAUUGGGACUGAGAGACGGCCCAGACUCCUACGGGAGGCAGAAGUGGGGAAUAUUGCACAAUGGGCGGAAGCCUGAUGCAGCAACGCCGCGUGCGGGAUGACGGCCUUCGGGGUGUAAACCGCUUUCGCCUGUGACGAAGCGUGAGUGACGGUAAUGGGUAAAGAAGCACCGGCUAACUACGUG